GGAUUUGAGGGAGGUCUGGCUGUGACAUCGGUCACCAGAUAGGUUGGACAGGGUUAAUUCUGCUGAUCUGGCUGGCCAGGAGGUGAUCUCUGAUCUCUCCAGGUUGCUCAUUUGUGUGUCUCCCGCAGCUGGGAGCUCUGUCAGGCUGGUGGCCGUCCCAGAUAAAGGACGGCUAUUCUCCGGUCAAGGGCACAUAAGUAUCUGUGUUCCCCUGCCAGAACUUUGGAAAGCUUUCAAAUUCCAUUUGUAGGCAAACUUGAGACUUCUCAAGUUCAAACUUGGAAGACUCUGGAUACAUCCAAAUGAGGUGCUGCAUGUAGCAGCAUGAAUAUGCUUU
This is a non-coding RNA of Otolemur garnettii (small-eared galago), 337 nucleotides long. Lineage: Eukaryota; Metazoa; Chordata; Mammalia; Primates; Galagidae. The record is from Rfam.